UACGUAGGGUGCGAGCGUUAAUCGGAAUUACUGGGCGUAAAGCGUGCGCAGGCGGUUUUGUAAGCCAGGUGUGAAAGCCCCGGGCUCAACCUGGGAAUUGCAUUCGAGACUGCAUUGCUGGAGUACGGAAGAGGAAGGCGGAAUUCCCGGUGUAGCGGUGAAAUGCGUAGAUAUCGGGAGGAACAUCAGUGGCGAAGGCGGCCUUCUGGUCCAGUACUGACACUCAAGUGCGAAAGCGUGGGGAGCAAACAGG
This 253-nucleotide ribosomal RNA is filed under the name uncultured bacterium. Its description in RNAcentral is "partial 16S ribosomal RNA". It matches the Rfam family "Bacterial small subunit ribosomal RNA", at positions 524 to 776 of the family's 1533-position model. The record is from RNAcentral.